Molecule: ribosomal RNA, 451 nt
Filed under: uncultured bacterium
Lineage: Bacteria
Description: partial 16S ribosomal RNA
Rfam family: Bacterial small subunit ribosomal RNA
Source: RNAcentral
GUGGGGAAUAUUGGACAAUGGGGGGAACCCUGAUCCAGCCAUGCCGCGUGUGUGAAGAAGGCCUUUUGGUUGUAAAGCACUUUAAGCGAGGAGGAGGCUACCGAGAUUAAUACUCUUGGAUAGUGGACGUUACUCGCAGAAUAAGCACCGGCUAACUCUGUGCCAGCAGCCGCGGUAAUACAGAGGGUGCAAGCGUUAAUCGGAUUUACUGGGCGUAAAGCGCGCGUAGGUGGCCAAUUAAGUCAAAUAUGAAAUACCCGUGCUUAACUUGGGAAUUGCAUUCGAUACUGGUUGGCUAGAGUAUGGGAGAGGAUGGUAGAAUUCCAGGUGUAGCGGUGAAAUGCGUAGAGAUCUGGAGGAAUACCGAUGGCGAAGGCAGCCAUCUGGCCUAAUACUGACACUGAGGUGCGAAAGCAUGGGGAGCAAACAGGAUUAGAUACCCCGGUAGUCC